CCUACGGGAGGCAGCAGUGGGGAAUAUUGGACAAUGGGCGCAAGCCUGAUCCAGCCAUACCGCGUGGGUGAAGAAGGCCUUCGGGUUGUAAAGCCCUUUUGUUGGGAAAGAAAUCCAGCUGGUUAAUACCCGGUUGGGAUGACGGUACCCAAAGAAUAAGCACCGGCUAACUUCGUGCCAGCAGCCGCGGUAAUACGAAGGGUGCAAGCGUUACUCGGAAUUACUGGGCGUAAAGCGUGCGUAGGUGGUCGUUUAAGUCCGUUGUGAAAGCCCUGGGCUCAACCUGGGAACUGCAGUGGAUACUGGGCGACUAGAAUGUGGUAGAGGGUAGCGGAAUUCCUGGUGUAGCAGUGAAAUGCGUAGAGAUCAGGAGGAACAUCCAUGGCGAAGGCAGCUACCUGGACCAACAUUGACACUGAGGCACGAAAGCGUGGGGAGCAAACAGGAUUAGAUACCCCAGUAGUC
Molecule: ribosomal RNA, 465 nt
Filed under: uncultured bacterium
Lineage: Bacteria
Description: bacterial SSU rRNA
Rfam family: Bacterial small subunit ribosomal RNA
Source: RNAcentral